This 256-nucleotide ribosomal RNA is filed under the name uncultured bacterium. Its description in RNAcentral is "partial 16S ribosomal RNA". It matches the Rfam family "Bacterial small subunit ribosomal RNA", at positions 524 to 776 of the family's 1533-position model. The record is from RNAcentral.
UACGAAGGGGGCUAGCGUUGCUCGGAAUCACUGGGCGUAAAGCGCACGUAGGCGGACUUUUAAGUCAGGGUGAAAUCCCGGGGCUCAACCCCGGAACUGCCCUUGAAACUGGAGAGCUAGAAUCUUGGAGAGGCGAGUGGAAUUCCGGAGUGAUAGAGGUGAAAUUCGUAGAUAUUCGGAAGAACACCAGUGGCGAAGGCGACUCGCUGGACAAGUAUUGACGCUGAGGUGACGAAAGGCGUGGGGAGCAAACAGG